UUACGGCCAUAUCACACUGAAACACCGGUUACCGUAAGAUCACUGAAGUUAAGCAACGUUUAGCCCGGUCAAUACCUAGAUGGGUGAGAGUCUGAGAAUACCGGGUGCUGUAAG
Non-coding RNA from Acanthosepion pharaonis, 114 nucleotides. Lineage: Eukaryota; Metazoa; Mollusca; Cephalopoda; Sepiida; Sepiidae. The record is from the annotation of a GenBank genome assembly.